This 451-nucleotide ribosomal RNA is filed under the name uncultured bacterium. RNAcentral describes it as "partial 16S ribosomal RNA". It matches the Rfam family "Bacterial small subunit ribosomal RNA", at positions 354 to 796 of the family's 1533-position model. The record is from RNAcentral.
GUGGGGAAUAUUGGACAAUGGGGGGAACCCUGAUCCAGCCAUGCCGCGUGUGUGAAGAAGGCCUUUUGGUUGUAAAGCACUUUAAGCGAGGAGGAGGCUACCGAGAUUAAUACUCUUGGAUAGUGGACGUUACUCGCAGAAUAAGCACCGGCUAACUCUGUGCCAGCAGCCGCGGUAAUACAGAGGGUGCAAGCGUUAAUCGGAUUUACUGGUCGUAAAGCGCGCGUAGGUGGCCAAUUAAGUCAAAUGUGAAAUCCCCGAGCUUAACUUGGGAAUUGCAUUCGAUACUGGUUGGCUAGAGUAUGGGAGAGGAUGGUAGAAUUCCAGGUGUAGCGGUGAAAUGCGUAGAGAUCUGGAGGAAUACCGAUGGCGAAGGCAGCCAUCUGGCCUAAUACUGACACUGAGGUGCGAAAGCAUGGGGAGCAAACAGGAUUAGAUACCCUAGUAGUCC